This 85-nucleotide transfer RNA is filed under the name Candidatus Altimarinota bacterium. Its description in RNAcentral is "Candidatus Gracilibacteria bacterium tRNA-Leu". It matches the Rfam family "tRNA". From Rfam's summary of the family: Transfer RNA (tRNA) molecules are approximately 80 nucleotides in length. Their secondary structure includes four short double-helical elements and three loops (D, anti-codon, and T loops). The record is from RNAcentral. Lineage: Bacteria; Candidatus Altimarinota.
GCCGGGAUGGUGGAAUUGGUAGACACGUUGGUCUUAGAAACCAAUGCCUCACAGCGUGAGAGUUCGAGUCUCUCUCUCGGCACCA